GACGAACGCUGGCGGCGUGCUUAACACAUGCAAGUCGAACGGAAAGGCCCUGCUUUUGUGGGGUGCUCGAGUGGCGAACGGGUGAGUAACACGUGAGUAACCUGCCCUUGACUUUGGGAUAACUUCAGGAAACUGGGGCUAAUACCGGAUAGGAGCUCCUGCUGCAUGGUGGGGGUUGGAAAGUUUCGGCGGUUGGGGAUGGACUCGCGGCUUAUCAGCUUGUUGGUGGGGUAGUGGCUUACCAAGGCUUUGACGGGUAGCCGGCCUGAGGGGGUGACCGGCCACAUUGGGACUGAGAUACGGCCCAGACUCCUACGGGAGGCAGCAGUGGGGAAUAUUGCACAAUGGGCGGAAGCCUGAUGCAGCAACGCCGCGUGCGGGAUGACGGCCUUCGGGUUGUAAACCGCUUUCGCCUGUGACGAAGCGUGAGUGACGGUAAUGGGUAAAGAAGCACCGGCUAACUACGUGCCAGCAGCCGCGGUGAUACGUAGGGUGCGAGCGUUGUCCGGAUUUAUUGGGCGUAAAGGGCUCGUAGGUGGUUGAUCGCGUCGGAAGUGUAAUCUUGGGGCUUAACCCUGAGCGUGCUUUCGAUACGGGUUGACUUGAGGAAGGUAGGGGAGAAUGGAAUUCCUGGUGGAGCGGUGGAAUGCGCAGAUAUCAGGAGGAACACCAGUGGCGAAGGCGGUUCUCUGGGCCUUUCCUGACGCUGAGGAGCGAAAGCGUGGGGAGCGAACAGGCUUAGAUACCCUGGUAGUCCACGCUGUAGACGGUGGGUACUAGGUGUGGGGUCCAUUCCACGGGUUCCGUGCCGUAGCUAACGCUUUAAGUACCCCGCCUGGGGAGUACGGCCGCGAGGCUAAAACUCAAAGGAAUUGACGGGGCCCCGCACAAGCGGCGGAGCAUGCGGAUUAAUUCGAUGCAACGCGUAGAACCUUACCUGGGUUUGACAUGGAUCGGGAGUGCUCAGAGAUGGGUGUGCCUCCUUUGGGGUCGGUUCACAGGUGGUGCAUGGCUGUCGUCAGCUCGUGUCGUGAGAUGUUGGGUUAAGUCCCGCAACGAGCGCAACCCUUGUUCACUGUUGCCAGCACGUUAUGGUGGGGACUCAGUGGAGACCGCCGGGGUCAACUCGGAGGAAGGUGGGGAUGGCGUCAAGUCAUCAUGCCCCUUAUGUCCAGGGCUUCACGCAUGCUACAAUGGCUGGUACAGAGAGUGGCGAGCCUGUGAGGGUGAGCGAAUCUCGGAAAGCCGGUCUCAGUUCGGAUUGGGGUCUGCAACUCGACCUCACGAAGUCGGAGUCGCUAGUAAUCGCAGAUCAGCAACGCUGCGGUGAAUACGUUCCCGGGGCU
This 1346-nucleotide ribosomal RNA is filed under the name uncultured bacterium. RNAcentral describes it as "partial 16S ribosomal RNA". It matches the Rfam family "Bacterial small subunit ribosomal RNA", at positions 28 to 1381 of the family's 1533-position model. The record is from RNAcentral.